RNAcentral lists this ribosomal RNA (320 nucleotides) under uncultured eukaryote. RNAcentral's name for it is "partial 18S ribosomal RNA". It matches the Rfam family "Eukaryotic small subunit ribosomal RNA", at positions 1470 to 1796 of the family's 1831-position model. The record is from RNAcentral.
CCCCUAGAUGUUCUGGGCCGCACGCGCGCUACACUGAACAGUUCAACAAGUCUUAACCUUGGCCGAUAGGUCUGGGUAAUCUUUGAACGCUGUUCGUGAUUGGGAUAGACCUUUGCAAUUAUGGGUCUUCAACGAGGAAUUCCUAGUAAACGCAAGUCAUCAGCUUGCAUUGAUUACGUCCCUGCCCGUUGUACACACCGCCCGUCGCACCUACCGAUUGAAUGGUCCGGUGAAAUCUCGGGACGGCGGCUUGGUCGCUUGCGUCCGACUGCUGAAACUUGAUUAAACCAUAUCAUUUAGAGGAAGGUGAANUCGUAACA